RNAcentral lists this ribosomal RNA (484 nucleotides) under uncultured bacterium. RNAcentral describes it as "partial 16S ribosomal RNA". It matches the Rfam family "Bacterial small subunit ribosomal RNA", at positions 30 to 507 of the family's 1533-position model. The record is from RNAcentral.
AUUGAAUGCUGGCGGCAGGCCUAACACAUGCAAGUCGAGCGGAUGAAGGGAGCUUGCUCCUGGAUUCAGCGGCGGACGGGUGAGUAAUGCCUAGGAAUCUGCCUGGUAGUGGGGGAUAACGUCCGGAAACGGGCGCUAAUACCGCAUACGUCCUGAGGGAGAAAGUGGGGGAUCUUCGGACCUCACGCUAUCAGAUGAGCCUAGGUCGGAUUAGCUAGUUGGUGGGGUAAAGGCCUACCAAGGCGACGAUCCGUAACUGGUCUGAGAGGGUGAUCAGUCACACUGGAACUGAGACACGGUCCAGACUCCUACGGGAGGCAGCAGUGGGGAAUAUUGGACAAUGGGCGAAAGCCUGAUCCAGCCAUGCCGCGUGUGUGAAGAAGGUCUUCGGAUUGUAAAGCACUUUAAGUUGGGAGGAAGGGCAGUAAGUUAAUACCUUGCUGUUUUGACGUUACCAACAGAAUAAGCACCGGCUAACUUCGUG